RNAcentral lists this long non-coding RNA (570 nucleotides) under Bos taurus (domestic cattle). RNAcentral's name for it is "long non-coding RNA NONBTAT017056". Lineage: Eukaryota; Metazoa; Chordata; Mammalia; Artiodactyla; Bovidae. The record is from RNAcentral.
GGUAAAUAACCUUGUUUUCUCCUUCAUCAGUGGCUGCUACCAAACCCCGCUCUUGGAAUGUGGCCAACAGUCUGUCUGGUGGAGGGCGCUGCUAAUUGGAGAGAGACCAUAAACCUCUCUGUCAAAGAGGGCAUAUGACCUUCCCUUCAAGUCUAAACAAUAAAGCUGGCGAACUGCAGACUGCACUCUCUCGCGGGCUGCCCUGCGGAUUCCCUAAAUAGGAACAGGAUGAAGGCCAGGCUUAAGAGGUUACCAUAGCUCUGCUCUCACACUUUGAGGAAUCGGUCACUCCACUUCCCAGUAUAACUUGUUUCAAUUACUCUCGACAAUCUAUUUAGAGGAGAGCAGCUUGCAGAGAGAACUCAUUGUCUAAUCUAAAUGAGGAAGCAAUUAUUACUUGCUGCAGUCUAAUGUGCUUUGAGACUGUCAGGUCAAAUAUCAACCAGAUUUCAUAUAACCUUACUUUGCACUUGGGAAGAUAUAUAUCCUUUUAAAGACAAUUAUGUAUGCUUGUUUUCUGAAUCCCCCCCCCCCUUUUAUUCUAAUAAGUUUACAAAAUUAAGGUUCCCC